UAAAGGGCAGAUGGGAGCUGCCUUGAUUCAAAUGGAACAAAACCUGCUUGUCCACCCAGGACUGCCGCAGAUACGCUGGGGUCUGCGCUCUGUGUGCACAAUAGUUGCAUAUUCAGGGAUCGUCCUCCCUCCUGUCUACUGGAUGGAGACAUUCGAGGAUUGGCGGACCCAGCCUUUUGUCUCUGCUGCAAAGCCUUUGCGAGGAAGGGCUCGGGGGGCUUCAGAUGCGCGUGCCACCGUUGUGGCGAUCUGUUCCUUUGUCAUACGCAGGAAGUGUCAUCUUUCAAGCCACUGAAAGCAGCUGCCUCGGUGUGGAAAACCGUUGCUUUGACCUCUGAACAGAUCGGUGAUCCUGUCUGCUUUCUGCCUUCUGCAACUCAGCACCUGAGUUUUCUCGCUACCAGCAAGGGUAUUCCCGGUGUCCCUCCACCCUCCCUUGAUCCGCGGGGCUCCAGAGAAACGUGUUUACUGGGUAGUCUCUGCUUGGAGGUUGUGCCAGUAGCUUCUCGUGAGCGCUCCUAUAAAGCCCAAGCAACGCCCUCCUGGAGGCUGCUGCCAACACCAGUGUCCUGCUGGCACUGCCUCCUCUCACCACCUUUCCAAACCAACAAGCUCCCGACAUGUGUGCGCAGUGCAGCACAGGUCACGCGAGCCGUGUCCCUCCCUCCCUCCCUCCCUUUGAUUCCCUCCUUUUCAGGCUGGGGUUGGAUUGCAAAGGCUCGCUGCGGGGCUUCGGUUACUCGGUGUCUGCUGCUCCCUUGCACGUUGCUCCUCUCCAGUGCACGUCCUAGCCUGGCGUCACCCGCCUUUGAGGGUCCGGUUGCUCUGCGGACGUGUUGUCUUCAAACGCCUCUGUCGGCUGAAGGUGUCGAGGGCAGAGCUCUGUCCGCAGCAGGCGUUUUCACCCAUUUCGCUGCAUCCAUUUUGUGCUGCACGGCUCAAAUUCCUGCUCACAAAACUGCCUGCAACGUCCCCCUCGGACGACUAGAAAACCUGAGCACAGCUUGUAGCACCGAGCAUCUCUGAUCUGCGAAGACUCGACGAAAAGCAAGCCUAUUGAAUUUUCCUUUUUGUCCGCGGCUUAAAUAAAUAUGUCACAAAGCU
This 1104-nucleotide long non-coding RNA is filed under the name Crocodylus porosus (Australian saltwater crocodile). RNAcentral's name for it is "lncRNA (ENSCPRG00005015634.1)". The record is from RNAcentral. Lineage: Eukaryota; Metazoa; Chordata; Crocodylia; Crocodylidae.